RNAcentral lists this unclassified non-coding RNA (355 nucleotides) under uncultured Glomeromycotina. RNAcentral describes it as "sequence contains 28S rRNA gene". Lineage: Eukaryota; Fungi; Glomeromycota. The record is from RNAcentral.
AGAGUUAAAUAGUAUGUGAAAUUGUUGAAAGGGAAACGAUUGAAGUCAGUCAUGCUGUAAGGAAUCAACUUAGUGGUUUACUUCCUUGUGUACUUUCUCGCUUGGCAGGUUAGCAUUAAUUUUGGUUGUCAUCAAAGAAUUGGGGGAAUGUGGUUUCUCUUUGGGGAAGUGUUUAUAGACCCUGGUAGAUAUGGCGACUGAGAUUGAGGAUUGCAGCAGAUGCCUUUGGCUAGUCACCUGUCUUCUGACUGUUACCUCGCUUUUGACAGCUUGCUGACGAUUGUGGGAUUUGACGGCCUAAAAGUUAGAGUGUACAUAAAUUCGCUAAGGAUGCUGACGUAAUGGCUUUAAACGA